Molecule: ribosomal RNA, 67 nt
Filed under: Pedobacter alluvionis
Lineage: Bacteria; Pseudomonadati; Bacteroidota; Sphingobacteriia; Sphingobacteriales; Sphingobacteriaceae
Description: partial 16S ribosomal RNA
Rfam family: Bacterial small subunit ribosomal RNA
Source: RNAcentral
UUUUACAAUGGAGAGUUUGAUCCUGGCUCAGGAUGAACGCUAGCGGCAGGCCUAAUACAUGCAAGUC